Molecule: non-coding RNA, 87 nt
Organism: Punica granatum (pomegranate)
Lineage: Eukaryota; Viridiplantae; Streptophyta; Magnoliopsida; Myrtales; Lythraceae
Source: Rfam
GGAUGAGCUGAUGAUGUUUAUGUUUCCCUAUUGGUUUGAUUGCCGUGAUGAUGGCAACGCAUCUGUAUUAGCUCUAUCUGAUCACCC